GACGAACGCUGGCGGCGUGCCUAAUACAUGCAAGUCGAACGCUGAAGAGAGGAGCUUACUCUUCUUGGAUGAGUUGCGAACGGGUGAGUAACGCGUAGGUAACCUGCCUUGUAGCGGGGGAUAACUAUUGGAAACGAUAGCUAAUACCGCAUAACAAUGGAUGACACAUGUCUUUUAUUUGAAAGGGGCAAUUGCUCCACUACAAGAUGGACCUGCGUUGUAUUAGCUAGUAGGUGAGGUAAUGGCUCACCUAGGCGACGAUACAUAGCCGACCUGAGAGGGUGGAUCGGCACAACGGGAAUGGGACCAGGGCCAGGAUCCCACGGGAGGCAGCAGUAGGGGAUCUUCGGCAAUGGGGGCAACCCUGACCGAGCAAAGCCGCGUGAGUGAAGAAGGUUUUCGGAUCGUAAAGCUCUGUUGUAAGUCAAGAACGGGUGUGAGAGUGGAAAGUUCACACUGUGACGGUAGCUUACCAGAAAGGGACGGCUAACUACGUG
This 497-nucleotide ribosomal RNA is filed under the name uncultured bacterium. Its description in RNAcentral is "partial 16S ribosomal RNA". It matches the Rfam family "Bacterial small subunit ribosomal RNA", at positions 28 to 507 of the family's 1533-position model. The record is from RNAcentral.